AGGCGGCGAGACCACUGAGCUAAAUCCCGGCCCAGGUUUUGAUCUAUUGCAGUUGUCAUUUUCAUUGCAGUUCACAGUGUGCUGUCAUUGGCCAGGGCAGCAUCUUCAGGUUGGCUCCUGGGUCAUGUCAGGACAGGAUCCCAGGUCCUCACAUCUGGGAUGGUUCAGUGUUCAUCAUACACCUGUCCUGCUCCAGACCUCAAACCAGCCAUUCCUUCAGAAAGAACUGGUUUCUUCUAGUGGGAAAUGGCAUUGGCAGACCAUGGACUGGGCCUGGGGAGACUGGUUGUCACCAAAGGUUAGGCCUUUCCAGUGGACAGAGUUGGGAAAUGUGUAAACAUAAGACUUUGAGAGUUUCUGUGGAUGUUUCCAGUUCAGGCAAUUGUUCAGGGACACAGGGUUCCUUUGGGUCUUUGCUUCUCAUGUGGAGUUCUCUGAUUUCACCUCAUUUCUAAGUUCUGCCAAUUCUGGUUUAUGUUGUUCUUUAGUGUCCUUUAGCCACGGGAUAUUGCCGUUUUGAUCUGUUUCUGCCAGGAGCUUCCAUACGCCCUCCACAGCCCUGACCUCAGGAUUGUUUGUGUGGACGCUGGAGUGUGUCCCAUGUGGCCCUUUCCCCUAUCAGAUAGGGUCCCGUGAGCUCCUGGGCUAGGGCCUAGUCCAGCCCCUCUGGCUUCUGUCUGGCUGACCCCUUUCUUUGCUUGUAAGUCUGCUCAGGCAGUGGUAAAUCUAGCUGCCAUCCUUUCCAAUAAUUGUUUUUUGUAGUGCUUGGGAUGGAACCCAGGGCCUCAUGCAUGCUAGGCAGCCUCUCUACCAUUGAACUAGCCCCUUCCUUGUAUGCUGUACCCUAGCUGCCUUUCAUAUAUUUGUUGUUUUGCUCAGUGUAACCAAUUUCCCAGCCACUUUGGCUUUUGGGGUCCCUCUGUCAGCAGGAGAGAGUUAUUGGAAAGGCCAACUUUUGAGGCAGGCAUUGGAACCACUGAGCUACAUCCCUGGCCCCCCUGUUGAUUAACUUUUGACCUGAGUGUUAAAAUACUCAGAAUCAGGCCAGGGAUGUAGCUCAGUGGGGCCACGCUUGCCUGGCAAGUGCAAAGCCCUGAAUUUGAUCCCGGUACUGGGAAAAAAAAUUCAGAGUCACUCCAAAGAAUAGGAAAAAGUAUGCAUACUUCCAGCUAACAGGACUGACAGUGGAGUGAGGCUGGGAAGGGUGUAGGACAAAUGGAGGACGCAGAUGAGCAGGAAGAUGUAGGUUGUUGAAGGAAGCUACCAAAUGAAGAAGUCAUGUCAUUAAAGACUUCGGGUGAAGUUUUCUCAUGGUCCUUGGACUUCUAGGAGUACCCAGAGUUUAAAAGAGUUUCUCUGCUAGGAUAUUUCUGUGGGAUAGAAAGUUUUCUUGUCUGCUUUUAAUCUGUAUUUUGAACUUACAGAAAAGUUAAAAUAGUACAGAGUUUCCAAAUACCCCUCACUCUGUUCAUGUAAUGUUAAACAUUGAUGUGAUGCUGUUCACUGAGGACCUUAUUAGAUUUUUUUGGAUUUAAUUUUUAAAAAAUUGAUAAGCUUUGUUCUUUAGAGCAGUUUUAGGUUCACAUACAAAUGAAGAGAGGGCACAGAGUUCCUGUGUGAGCCCCUGCACCCCGCCAAGGGUGCAUCUGUGUUGCCCUGGAUGGCGCUGGCUUCUUGGUGCCCUGGUGCGGAUUCUGUGGGCUUAGAUGUGCAACAGCUGGCAGCCACUGGCACCGUCAUACAGAGCAGUCUCUCUGGCCCAGAGCUUCUCUGUGCUCCCCUUCCCCUAGCACUUGGCGACCUCUCACGUUUUACUGCCGCCAUAGUUGUGCACUUUUCCAGCGUGUCACUCAGCUGAGGGUCACAACACAGGUGGCCUCUUUCAUUCAGCAGUGUGCACAUAAGUUUCCUAAUUUCCUUUCCAUGGACUCCUGGCUUGUGCGUUCAUUUUAUUUUAGCAUGGACUAAUACUCCACUGUCUAGAUGUACAGGUUCAUCCAUUCACCUACUGCAGGGUGUCUUGCUUGCUUCUACGGUUUGAUAAUUAUGAAUGAGGCUACUGUAGACACUGUGUGCUCACGGCUUUUCAGGGGCCUUGGUAAUACCCAGGGGUCAGUACUGAGUCUUAUGGCGGAGGAUGUUCAGUUUGGUAAGACAUGGUCCAGCCAUCUUCCAAAACGCUGUGCGGAGGGAGGCAGGAGGAUUGCUGUGAGUUCAGGGUCAGCCUGGGCUCCAUAGCGAGACCCUGUCUCAAAAAACAAACAAAAAAAGCCAAAUGUCUGUGCCAUUUUGCCUUCCUGCAGGGCGUGAUGAGGAUUCUUUGCGGUGGGUACUCAUAGGUGUGCAGUGGUGUCUCUCUCACUGGUGCUUUGCAUUUCCCUGAUGACUGAUGUGGAGCAUCUUUUCACACGCGCAUCCCCCCUCUGUCGCCCAGGCCUUUUGGCUGCUUUUAAGAUUGAGUUGUUUUCUUUUUUUUGGUACCAGGGAUUGAACUCGGGUCCUUGUACUUGCUGGGCAGGCAGUGGAACCACUGAGCUAAAUCCCCGGCCCUGGGCUGUUUUCUUAUUGUUGAAUUUCAAGAGUUCUUUGUGUACAGUCUUUUGGAUGAGAGCCCUUUAUCAGAUAAGUCUUUUGCAAGUAUUUUCAUUGAUGUCUUACCACCUAGGAUCCCUCACGGGUUUGGUUGUCACAUCUUUGUCCCUUCCACUCUUAAUGGCUUCUAAGUCUUCCCUUGUUUUUCUUUAAAUAGGUAAAUUAGCUCAUUUGUCUUUAUUAAUAUUUGUGACACUGGGGAUUGAACCCAAGGGCUCGCGUGUGUGCUAGACAAGUGCGGCUCCCACUGAGCUACAUUCCCAGUCUCACCAAGGUGGGCAGGCUGGCCUUGAACUCACAGGCCUCAGCCUCCUGAGUAGCUGGGAUUCUGGCAUGCAGAGCACCAUGCUGGCUCUGAAACCUCCUUAACCUCCUGGCCAUGGUCCCCUCUGUUCCCCCUAACUGGAGGCUGACGCAGGCUGCCUUUCCUGCUGCCCCCACAGUCCCGGUGUCCCAGGCUUCCUCUAGUCUCCUGGAGCCCCUGUCGGUAGCCUUGGUGUGGGGACAGCAGGGUGACUGGCUGUCACGCUGUGUCCGCGCUUCCUUCACUAUGCUUGUUUUCGAUGCUAUUGCGUGCUGCCCUGCCUCAUGUCCUGGUUUAAGGCUGGGCACCAGAUUAUUCCUUUGCCUUCCUGAGUUACUCUCUCCUUUCCCCUGUGGCGGAGCCGUCCAGACCGCCCUGCACCUGGGGCUCUUGCAGUGGGCAGGGCUUCCUCAGCCCAGUGUCACUGCUGUGCCUUCCGUGUGUGUAGGCUCAGGCCUCCUUCCCUUGCUUCUCUGCCUUCUAUCCCUGUCAGCUUUUCCUGGUCUCAUUUUCUUUCUAGGGUUUCCUGUCUUGUUUACUUUGUCUCUUUUUCCUGGGGCCUAGUAAUUUACUCAUCUAGAGGAUAAUUUUGUCUCUUUCUCCACAUCUAUCGAGUUCAUUCAACUCUCAUCUCAAGUCUUCCUGGGGUUUUUGUUUUCUAAAUGUUUCCUAGGCUUGGGGCUUUUGAUUCAAGAUGAUUUUUUGUCCUUCAGUGGGAAGUUAAGUAUGUCUUCAUGCAGAGUGUCGCCUCAGGGUUGUCCUCUGUUCUGUCAAAGUGGAACUUGCUCUCAGACUUUCUGCAGUGAGUGUCUCUCCUGGAUUUGCUGGUCCGUCCAGUGUCUCUCUCUCUCAUUCUCUCUCUCUCUCUCUCUCUCUCUCUCUCUCUGUGUGUGUGCGCGCGCGCCUGCACCCCGCUUGGGCAUUUGGGUGCCUGUGAUGUCGUGGCGCCCUCUCCUGGCAGCAUUGUGAAGUCCAGGCUGCCAAGUUUGCUCGCAGCACUGGACUUGCAGAACCCUAACUUCUUUUGCUUCUCCCUCCCUCCUUCACCACACAGCCGUCAAGGGCUCUCCUAGGGACAUUUCAGUUUCCCUCUGCACACUCCUCAGGUCUGGCGCGGGACCCUUUCCUGCAGCCUGUGCUGGUGCCCUGUGUGUGCCCCAGCUUCCCAGGGUGCCUCUGCACCUCACUGCCUGCUGCCUCACUUGAAUUCAGCAGUGUCUGGCGGUACCCUGCUGGGGAGAGUGGUGGCUCUUCCCUCCCUUCGUGAGGUCAUUUUGGACGUGGGCAUCCCCGAGGCCUGUGUGAUGGCCAGGCCCCUGUGCACGUCUUCCCCUCAUUGCUCUCGGUUGUGAGAGGAUAGUAGGCAGCCGGUGCCAUCGUCAGCCUCUUGAGGUGAUGCCGUUUCUUUAGCUGAGUUUUGAGUGCUUUCGUAGCUCUUGAAAGGUCACACAGAUGCUCUGAGGGUGUGGAGCUCUCGCAGAGGGUGGGGGCAGCUCCAGGCAGGCUGCUCCGGCACCCCUGUCCUGGGUGCCACUGACCUGAACUGCUCCUCAGGCAGGGGCAGUCAGUCCAUGCAGGCGAGGACUCUUGACACCCUGGAGAGCUCCCAUCACUGCUUGGCGAGUGGUCACGGCAGCCCUGCACAGAGUGGCACAGGCUCAGGGUGUGUUCCAUCCUGUGUCCCCAGUCACUUUCCCAGAGAGAACUGCCUGUCCUUCAGCCCUGAAGACCGUGGGCCCUGAGCUGCACUUGCUGGCAUCUGGGUUGCAGCUGGUGGUGGUGUUUGUGCCGGGGCCUCUCUCAUCUCAGGUUUGUUUUGGGCUGUUGCUACAUAGCAGGCCACGUGCAGAGGCAGCAGAGGCAGGGCAGCAUCGCUCACCCUCAACCCUCAGCCUUUCUGCUGGGCCCCCAUGGCCACGAGGGGCUUUGGGUGAGCGGGAGUGUGUGUGUGUGUGUGUGUGUGUGUGUAUGUGUGUGCGUGCCCUGCCACACUCCUCCAGCAGUCUGUGGGCGACUGUUCCCACCUCGGCAGGUCCUGGGCUGUGUGUUAGGUUUGCUCACCGUGACCAGGACACCCACAAGCUCUGUGGUCGGAUUUGGGGACAGUGACUGCCAGCCCCUUCUUGGGGCAGAGUACAGCCAUGUGGUCAGAGUGAUUGCAGUACCAAGUAGGACACUGUGAGCAUGCACCUAUGUUUUUUGUAACUUGAGAGAAAUUUAUUUGUGUUUGUGAAAACCCACAGAGCCAUGGGGAUCUGUGGCUUAUAAACAUGCAGUGGCCAUCUCCAUCCACCCCCCUUCCCCCCCCACCCGAGCCUGACACAGAA
This is a long non-coding RNA of Heterocephalus glaber (naked mole-rat), 5223 nucleotides long. The record is from Ensembl. NCBI's taxonomy places the organism in Eukaryota, Metazoa, Chordata, Mammalia, Rodentia, Bathyergidae.